This 381-nucleotide ribosomal RNA is filed under the name uncultured bacterium. Its description in RNAcentral is "bacterial SSU rRNA". It matches the Rfam family "Bacterial small subunit ribosomal RNA", at positions 28 to 407 of the family's 1533-position model. The record is from RNAcentral.
GACGAACGCUGGCGGCGUGCUUAACACAUGCAAGUCGAGCGGUAAGGCCCUUUCGGGGGUACGACGAGCGGCGAACGGGUGAGUAACACGUGGGUGACCUGCCCUUACGCUCUGGGAUAAGCCUGGGAAACUGGGUCUAAUACCGGAUAUGACUCCAUGACGCAUGUUGGUGGGGUGGAAAGCCUUGUGCGGCUAGGGAUGGGCCCGCGGCCUAUCAGCUUGUUGGUGGGGUGAUGGCCUACCAAGGCGACGACGGGUAGCCGGCCUGAGAGGGCGACCGGCCACACUGGGACUGAGACACGGCCCAGACUCCUACGGGAGGCAGCAGUGGGGAAUCUUGCGCAAUGGGCGAAAGCCUGACGCAGCGACGCCGCGUGGGGA